GUAGAAAUAAUAAUUCUUAAAAAAAACUAAAAGGACGCGGUAACCUUGACCGUGAUAAUGUAGCAUAAUCACUCGCCAUUUAAUUGAUGGAUAGUAUGAAUGGUUGAACGAAUAUUCCCCUGUCUUAGACAAAAUAAUAAAAAAUUGAAAUAAUAGUUAAGAUGCUAUUUUUUACUGUAAGACGAAAAGACCCUAUAGAGCUUAACUAUAACCUUUUUAUAUAAAAAGAAAAUAAAUUCUAUACUUAAAAAGGUUGGUAGUUUAGUUGGGGCGACUGUCUUCUAUAUUGAACGAAGACAAGCAAUGUUAAUAAAAAACUUAUUGUAUAACAAAAAUGUUUAACAAUUAUAAAAAUAGGCUAUAAUGACCCGUUAAUACUUAAUAAAAAGAAUAACGAUUAAUUAAUAAAAGCUACCUUAGGGAUAACAGGAUUAUUUCAUUUCAGAGUUCAUAUCGAAAAUGAAGUUUGUCACCUCUAUGUUGAAUUAAGAUAUCCUGAUAAUGCAGAAGUUAUCAAA
Molecule: ribosomal RNA, 518 nt
Filed under: Earleria panicula
Lineage: Eukaryota; Metazoa; Cnidaria; Hydrozoa; Leptothecata; Mitrocomidae
Description: partial 16S ribosomal RNA
Rfam family: Bacterial large subunit ribosomal RNA
Source: RNAcentral